Molecule: long non-coding RNA, 219 nt
Filed under: Spirodela polyrhiza (greater duckweed)
Lineage: Eukaryota; Viridiplantae; Streptophyta; Magnoliopsida; Alismatales; Araceae
Description: long non-coding RNA (SPOL_LNC002404)
Source: RNAcentral
AGAGAGAGAGAGAGAGAGAGAGACAUGUUGCACUUCAAUCCCCAACCAGGCAACCUCAAAAUCAGUAGAUUCAAGCACAUGAAGGGAAACGUACAUAAAUCAUUUUGUAGAACUAAUAUACUAACCAGAUUGACACUCCCUCUUUGCUUAAAUAGGCAUAACCGAACUUUAAUAAAUGACAUGGCUGGUGUUUAGAUUGCAAGCUCAACCAGGAAGGAG